Molecule: ribosomal RNA, 496 nt
Filed under: uncultured bacterium
Lineage: Bacteria
Description: partial 16S ribosomal RNA
Rfam family: Bacterial small subunit ribosomal RNA
Source: RNAcentral
GAUGAACGCUGGCGGCGUGCCUAAUACAUGCAAGUCGAGCGAACAGAUGAGGAGCUUGCUCCUCUGACGUUAGCGGCGGACGGGUGAGUAACACGUGGAUAACCUACCUAUAAGACUGGGAUAACUUCGGGAAACCGGAGCUAAUACCGGAUAAUAUAUUGAACCGCAUGGUUCAAUAGUGAGAGACGGUUUUUCUGUCACUUAUAGAUGGAUCCGCGCCGCAUUAGCUAGUUGGUAAGGUAACGGCUUACCAAGGCAACGAUGCGUAGCCGACCUGAGAGGGGGAUCGGCAACACGGCAGCGGGGACACGUACCCACUCCUAAGGGGAGGCAGAGGUAGGAAUCCUUCGGCAUGGGGCAAAGGCGUAAGGGGGAAACGCGGCGUGAGUGUGGAAGUGCUUGGACUCGUAAACCAUGGUUGUAGGGAAGAACAAAUGUGUAAGUAACUAUGCACGUCUUGACGGUACCUAAUCAGAAAGCCACGGCUAACUACGUG